This 582-nucleotide long non-coding RNA is filed under the name Vulpes vulpes (red fox). Its description in RNAcentral is "lncRNA (ENSVVUG00000015344.1)". The record is from RNAcentral. Lineage: Eukaryota; Metazoa; Chordata; Mammalia; Carnivora; Canidae.
AUGUGUUCACUGCUUAGUGUGAAGCGGACACGCAGGGAACCCAUCUUACCUGGGCUUCUGGCUGAACUUGCAUUUGCAUUUCCCACCUGUUGGGGGAGAAGGAACGGUUUGGGGGAGGGGACCCACAGCGCUGCCCUGCCAGCGGGCCACCAGGGUCCCCACUCACUCAUGAGGACGAUGAUGCCGAUGGUGCACAGAACCGCGGCACAGAUGAGCCCACCGAUCCGGAGCCUCUGCCAGUCUAGGAGAAACCCAGAGGAGGCGAUCGAUGCCUGCCUGUGUCCUCCCCAGCCCAACCUCCCUCCAUUCGACAGACACCUGGCUAACCCUGCCUCCUGCAGAAACGGAGCAACAUUCUUGUCACGCUGACAGAUGGUACCGGUUCCCAUCUCAGAGCCUCGUCCACACCGCACCUGUUCUGGUGUGUGCUCACCACUUCCUUUUAGAGCGAAUUACUAAUUAUAAACCCAAUACACUGUAUUUAAAAGAAAUGCAGCUUUCUAUCACUACCCUGAAUGGAAUGCCAGUCUUGCCUAAUGUAAGGGAUAAAAAAUACAAUAAAAGCAAAGGACUAGGAUUACA